This is a long non-coding RNA of Chenopodium quinoa (quinoa), 219 nucleotides long. RefSeq lists it as uncharacterized. The transcript has 3 exons. The record is from RefSeq and is a predicted model, not a curated record. Lineage: Eukaryota; Viridiplantae; Streptophyta; Magnoliopsida; Caryophyllales; Amaranthaceae.
AGGAGAAGAUGAGAUACAUGCAGACGAGGAGGUUGGUAAUCCUGCACAUGCGUACUUGAGGGAGCUUGAAAAUCCAACACCUCAUGACUUUCCGGUUCUACAGGAAGAGACCCGUUGUGAACUUCUUCACCCGGGCGAUUCAUACAGUGGAGCCUUGAACUUGGUUGCGUAUGGAAGUGCUCAACCGGCCGAACAAGGUACGGUCCAUUUGCGACCGCU